Molecule: ribosomal RNA, 481 nt
Filed under: uncultured Clostridium sp.
Lineage: Bacteria; Bacillati; Bacillota; Clostridia; Eubacteriales; Clostridiaceae
Description: bacterial SSU rRNA
Rfam family: Bacterial small subunit ribosomal RNA
Source: RNAcentral
GAAUUGACGGGGGCCCGCACAAGUAGCGGAGCAUGUGGUUUAAUUCGAAGCAACGCGAAGAACCUUACCUAAGCUUGACAUCCCAUUGACCUCUCCCUAAUCGGAGAUUUCCCUUCGGGGACAGUAGUGACAGGUGGUGCAUGGUUGUCGUCAGCUCGUGUCGCGAGAUGUUGGGUUAAGUCCCGCAACGAGCGCAACCCUUGUGAUUAGUUGCUACGCAAGAGCACUCUAAUCAGACUGCCGUUGACAAAACGGAGGAAGGUGGGGACGACGUCAAAUCAUCAUGCCCCUUAUGAUCUGGGCUACACACGUACUACAAUGGCCAUCAACAAAGGGAAGCAAAGCCGCGAGGCGGAGCAAAUCCCCAAAAAUGGUCCCAGUUCGGAUCGCAGGCUGCAACCCGCCUGCGUGAAGCCGGAAUUGCUAGUAAUCGCGGAUCAUCAUGCCGCGGUGAAUACGUUCCCGGGCCUUGUACACACCG